This is a small nuclear RNA of Vigna unguiculata (cowpea), 118 nucleotides long. RefSeq annotates it as U5 spliceosomal RNA. Lineage: Eukaryota; Viridiplantae; Streptophyta; Magnoliopsida; Fabales; Fabaceae. The record is from RefSeq and is a predicted model, not a curated record.
AGCUGUGUGAUAAGUACAUAGCGAACUAUUCUUUCGCCUUUUACUAAAGAAUACCGUGUACUUGUCACAAUAAGCGGCAUACGCCAAUUUUUGGGAGAGGGACCUCACUAGAGGGCCC